UCACUUAUAGAUGGAUCCGCGCUGCAUUAGCUAGUUGGUAAGGUAACGGCUUACCAAGGCAACGAUGCAUAGCCGACCUGAGAGGGUGAUCGGCCACACUGGAACUGAGACACGGUCCAGACUCCUACGGGAGGCAGCAGUAGGGAAUCUUCCGCAAUGGGCGAAAGCCUGACGGAGCAACGCCGCGUGAGUGAUGAAGGUCUUCGGAUCGUAAAACUCUGUUAUUAGGGAAGAACAUAUGUGUAAGUAACUGUGCACAUCUUGACGGUACCUAAUCAGAAAGCCACGGCUAACUACGUGCCAGCAGCCGCGGUAAUACGUAGGUGGCAAGCGUUAUCCGGAAUUAUUGGGCGUAAAGCGCGCGUAGGCGGUUUUUUAAGUCUGAUGUGAAAGCCCACGGCUCAACCGUGGAGGGUCAUUGGAAACUGGAAAACUUGAGUGCAGAAGAGGAAAGUGGAAUUCCAUGUGUAGCGGUGAAAUGCGCAGAGAUAUGGAGGAACACCAGUGGCGAAGGCGACUUUCUGGUCUGUAACUGACGCUGAUGUGCGAAAGCGUGGGGAUCAAACAGGAUUAGAUACCCUGGUAGUCCACGCCGUAAACGAUGAGUGCUAAGUGUUAGGGGGGUUUCCGCCCCUUAGUGCUGCAGCUAACGCAUUAAGCACUCCGCCUGGGGAGUACGACCGCAAGGUUGAAACUCAAAGGAAUUGACGGGGACCCGCACAAGCGGUGGAGCAUGUGGUUUAAUUCGAAGCAACGCGAAGAACCUUACCAAAUCUUGACAUCCUUUGACAACUCUAGAGAUAGAGCCUUCCCCUUCGGGGGACAAAGUGACAGGUGGUGCAUGGUUGUCGUCAGCUCGUGUCGUGAGAUGUUGGGUUAAGUCCCGCAACGAGCGCAACCCUUAAGCUUAGUUGCCAUCAUUAAGUUGGGCACUCUAAGUUGACUGCCGGUGACAAACCGGAGGAAGGUGGGGAUGACGUCAAAUCAUCAUGCCCCUUAUGAUUUGGGCUACACACGUGCUACAAUGGACAAUACAAAGGGCAGCGAAACCGCGAGGUCAAGCAAAUCCCAUAAAGUUGUUCUCAGUUCGGAUUGUAGUCUGCAACUCGACUACAUGAAGCUGGAAUCGCUAGUAAUCGUAGAUCAGCAUGCUACGGUGAAUACGUUCCCGGGUCUUGUACACACCGCCCGUCACACCACGAGAGUUUGUAACACCCGAAGCCGGUGGAGUAACCUUUUAGGAGCUAGCCGUCGAAGGUGGGACAAAUGAUUGGGGUGAAGUCGUAACAAGGUAGCCGUAUCGGAAGGUGCGGCUGGAUCACCUCCUUU
This 1329-nucleotide ribosomal RNA is filed under the name Staphylococcus aureus. RNAcentral's name for it is "bacterial SSU rRNA". It matches the Rfam family "Bacterial small subunit ribosomal RNA", at positions 215 to 1533 of the family's 1533-position model. Lineage: Bacteria; Bacillati; Bacillota; Bacilli; Caryophanales; Staphylococcaceae. The record is from RNAcentral.